CCUACGGGAGGCAGCAGUGGGGAAUAUUGCACAAUGGGGGAAACCCUGAUGCAGCGACGCCGCGUGAGUGAAGAAGUACUUCGGUACGUAAAGCUCUAUCAGCAGGGAAGAAAAUGACGGUACCUGACUAAGAAGCCCCGGCUAACUACGUGCCAGCAGCCGCGGUAAUACGUAGGGGGCGAGCGUUAUCCGGAUUUACUGGGUGUAAAGGGAGCGUAGACGGCAGCGCAAGUCUGGGGUGAAAUCCCAUGGCUUAACCAUGGAACUGCUUUGGAAACUGUGCAGCUAGAGUGCAGGAGAGGUAAGCGGAAUUCCUAGUGUAGCGGUGAAAUGCGUAGAUAUUAGGAGGAACACCAGUGGCGAAGGCGGCUUACUGGACUGUAACUGACGUUGAGGCUCGAAAGCGUGGGGAGCAAACAGGAUUAGAUACCCCAGUAGUC
This 440-nucleotide ribosomal RNA is filed under the name uncultured bacterium. RNAcentral describes it as "partial 16S ribosomal RNA". It matches the Rfam family "Bacterial small subunit ribosomal RNA", at positions 338 to 795 of the family's 1533-position model. The record is from RNAcentral.